This 433-nucleotide ribosomal RNA is filed under the name uncultured bacterium. RNAcentral's name for it is "partial 16S ribosomal RNA". It matches the Rfam family "Bacterial small subunit ribosomal RNA", at positions 29 to 507 of the family's 1533-position model. The record is from RNAcentral.
AACGAACGCUGGCGGCAUGCCUAACACAUGCAAGUCGAACGAGACCUUCGGGUCUAGUGGCGCACGGGUGCGUAACGCGUGGGAACCUGCCCUUAGGUUCGGAAUAACUCCCCGAAAGGGGUGCUAAUACCGGAUAAUGUCUUCGGACCAAAGAUUUAUCGCCUUUGGAUGGGCCCGCGUUGGAUUAGCUAGUUGGUAGGGUAAAAGCCUACCAAGGCGACGAUCCAUAGCUGGUCUGAGAGGAAGAUCAGCCACACUGGGACUGGGACACGGCCCAGACUCCUACGGGAGGCAGCAGUGGGGAAUAUUGGAAAAUGGGCGAAAGCCUGAUCCAGCAAUGCCGCGUGAGUGAUGAAGGCCUUAGGGUUGUAAAGCUCUUUUACCCGGGAUGAUAAUGACAGUACCGGGAGAAUAAGCUCCGGCUAACUCCGUG